RNAcentral lists this ribosomal RNA (1420 nucleotides) under Ganoderma sp. 4 YD-2015. Its description in RNAcentral is "partial small subunit ribosomal RNA". It matches the Rfam family "Bacterial small subunit ribosomal RNA". Lineage: Eukaryota; Fungi; Basidiomycota; Agaricomycetes; Polyporales; Polyporaceae. The record is from RNAcentral.
GAACGUUUUUCAGUAGUUUAAGACAUGCAAAUCGUUGUUCCCAACGUCCUUUUUAUAAUUCAUAUUAUAAUGUCAAUGGGAUUAGGGGAUAAGGUGUAGAGGUGAGUAUGUUAAAUAAGAUACCCUAUAGUCUUCUUAGCUAGGAGAUAUAAAGUAAAGGAAAAUUUCUGCUAUAGGAUUCUAUUUAAUUUGAUUAGGUAGUUGAUAGGGUAACGGCCUACCAAGCCAACGAUCAAAAGUCAAGUUUGAAAGAACCUCUGGCCACAUUGGGGAUGAAAUCUCCCAAGUAGUAAUAACACUACCAGCAGUCGAGAAUAUUAGUCAAUGCUCGUAAGAGUGAACUAGCUAACUGAAAUCAUAGAAUUUCUUUAAAUUCAUGAUGUCGUAAGGGAAAAUAAUGAUAAUACCUUACUAUGAGUGUCGUCCAAAUCUGGUGCCAGAAGACUCGGUAAGACCAGAGACGCAAACGUUAAUCAUCAUAAACAGGCGUAAAGGGUUUGUAGGCAGCUUUUAUAAAAUUGUCAAAGGUAAUUUAAUUGAAAGCUAGAAUCAAAAAGAGGUUAUAGUGUAUAACGCCUAGAGGAGGGCUGAUAUCCGUAGAUCCUAGGCAGAAUACUCAGGGCGAAGGCCACUCUCCACUAAUGAUUGACGCUGAGAAACGAAGGUUAGGGUAGGAAAUAGGAUUAGAUACCCCGGUACUCCUUUCUGUAAACGAUGAAUGGUAGUCAUUAGUUUAAUUAAAAUAACUAGAGGCGAAGUUAACACAAUAACCAUUCCGCCUUGUGAGUACUACUGCAAAGUAGAAAACAAAAAAAUUAGUCGGUCUCACCUUACCAGAACUUGCAUACAAACUAUAAAAUUUUUUGUCAAAGGAAAAUUAUUAGGAGUAUUUUAUCAUUUAAAUACUUAAGUACAGGUGUUGCAUGGCUGUCUUCAGUUCGUGUUGUUAAACAUUAGGUUAAUUCCACUAACGAACGAAAUCCCUGUUAUUAAUUUAUACUUAAUAACUAAUGAAUCUGAUAGAGAUUUAGCGGGGGCUAAGACAAGUCGUUAUGGCCCUCAUGUUCUGGGCUAUAGACGUGCCACAAAAACUUUUACAAAGUGAUGCAAUACUUCCCAAGAGAAGUGGAGCUAAUCAUUAAAAAAAGUGAUUUAUAUUAAAUAUAAGCCGGAUUGUCUCCUGUAAUUCGGAGGCAUGAAGAAGGAAUUCCGAGUAAUCGUUGAUAAGUAGCGCAACGGUGAAGCUAGUUUCGUGAUGAACUAACUGUCUGUCGCUGGGAAGAAGCUUUUAGUGGAGGAAACUGGAGUAAGAUUAUGUUUUUUUCAUAGUAACUCAUUGCUUUAAGUAAAGUAAGUAUUUUGAGUAUUAUGAUAAACUUAUUGGAUUUAGUGAAUUCAUUGAGGUAACAUCUCAAAAGUC